Molecule: long non-coding RNA, 530 nt
Filed under: Ananas comosus (pineapple)
Lineage: Eukaryota; Viridiplantae; Streptophyta; Magnoliopsida; Poales; Bromeliaceae
Description: long non-coding RNA (ACOM_LNC000887)
Source: RNAcentral
GUCGGUGAAUCUUUGUAAUUGCUGAUUAGUACGCUCAUUAUAUUUAAUAUCAUUUUUUUUGACCUUUUGGAUAUUAUAUGCUAUUUGAUCUAAUUUUUUAGUUUAUAGUGAUUUGUUGUGUUGGAUGUUGUUGAUGUUUCACAGUCGUUUUCGAUACAUUAGGCAUAAAGUUUCCAUUGCAAUUUUAUCUCCUAGAAUUAGGACUUUGGGUGCAAUUUUAUCUACUUUAGUCGGAUAAUUUUGUUGAUUCUAUUUGGUUCUAUAUUGCAUUCUGUUUUGGGCUUGGCUCUUUGGUUUCGACAAACUUGAAACUAAUUUAGCAGAAACCAUGCUAUCUCUUCAACAACCAAGGGAUUUGAGUUUUGUAGUGGAUUCGCAGAUUAGCCAAUUGUGCAUAAAUAUGCUAUAGAUUUAUUGCGAUUUUGAUUCUUGAACUUUGUCUUGGAUUUCAAUUUAGCCCUCAUAGCUUCAAGUAAUAAUUUUAGUCCUUCCUUUAGCACCAUUUAUAAAGUGUCAUAUCAGCAUCUUUA